UAACAUGAGAGUUUGAUCCUGGCUCAGGAUGAACGCUGGCGGCGUGCUUAACACAUGCAAGUCGAACGAAGCAUUUACAAGGAUUCCCUUCGGGGAUGAGAGGUUUAUGUCUGAGUGGCGGACGGGUGAGUAACGCGUGGGCAACCUGCCCCAUACCGGGGGAUAACAGCCGGAAACGGCUGCUAAUACCGCAUACGCCCUAAAGGCCGCAUGGCCUUAAGGGGAAAACUCCGGUGGUAUGGGAUGGGCCCGCGUCUGAUUAGCUAGUUGGCGGGGUAACGGCCCACCAAGGCAGCGAUCAGUAGCCGGCCUGAGAGGGCGGCCGGCCACAUUGGGACUGAGACACGGCCCAGACUCCUGCGGGAGGCAGCAGUGGGGAAUAUUGCACAAUGGGGGAAACCCUGAUGCAGCGACGCCGCGUGAGUGAAGAAGUAUCU
Molecule: ribosomal RNA, 437 nt
Filed under: Eubacterium sp.
Lineage: Bacteria; Bacillati; Bacillota; Clostridia; Eubacteriales; Eubacteriaceae
Description: bacterial SSU rRNA
Rfam family: Bacterial small subunit ribosomal RNA
Source: RNAcentral